GCCGGGCGCGGUGGCGCGCGCCUGUAGUCCCAGCUACUCGGGAGGCUGAGGCAGGAGGAUCGCUUGAGCCCAGGAGUUCUGGGCUGUAGUGCGCUAUGCCUAUCGGGUGUCCGCACUAAGUUCGGCAUCAAUAUGGUGACCUCCCGGGAGCGGGGGACCACCAGGUUGCCUAAGGAGGGGUGAACCGGCCCAGGUCGGAAACGGAGCAGGUCAAAACUCCCGUGCUGAUCAAAAUGAGGCAGCAUUGUCCUAUGCCAUCUCUACUUUUAAGGUACCAA
This 278-nucleotide signal recognition particle RNA is filed under the name Suricata suricatta (meerkat). RNAcentral describes it as "Metazoan signal recognition particle RNA (ENSSSUG00005016926.1)". It matches the Rfam family "Metazoan signal recognition particle RNA". From Rfam's summary of the family: The signal recognition particle (SRP) is a universally conserved ribonucleoprotein. Lineage: Eukaryota; Metazoa; Chordata; Mammalia; Carnivora; Herpestidae. The record is from Rfam by way of RNAcentral.